RNAcentral lists this ribosomal RNA (497 nucleotides) under uncultured bacterium. RNAcentral describes it as "partial 16S ribosomal RNA". It matches the Rfam family "Bacterial small subunit ribosomal RNA", at positions 28 to 507 of the family's 1533-position model. The record is from RNAcentral.
GACGAACGCUGGCGGCGUGCCUAAUACAUGCAAGUAGAACGCUGAAGCUUGGUGCUUGCACCGAGCGGAUGAGUUGCGAACGGGUGAGUAACGCGUAGGUAACCUGCCUGGUAGCGGGGGAUAACUAUUGGAAACGAUAGCUAAUACCGCAUAAGAGUAGAUGUUGCAUGACAUUUGCUUAAAAGGUGCAAUUGCAUCACUACCAGAUGGACCUGCGUUGUAUUAGCUAGUUGGUGAGGUAACGGCUCACCAAGGCAACGAUCCAUAGCCGACCUGAGAGGGUGAUCGGCCACACUGGUACGAGGACACGGUCCAGACCACUACGAGAGGCAGCAGGAGGGAAUUUUUGGCAAAGGACGGAAGGCUGACCGAGCGACGCCGCGUGAGUGAAGAAUGUUGUCGGAUCGUAAAGCUCUUUUGUAAGAGAAGAACGAAUGUGAGAGUUGAAAGUGCACACUGUGACGGUACCUGACCAGAAAGGGACGGCUAACUACGUG